Molecule: ribosomal RNA, 253 nt
Filed under: uncultured bacterium
Lineage: Bacteria
Description: partial 16S ribosomal RNA
Rfam family: Bacterial small subunit ribosomal RNA
Source: RNAcentral
UACGUAGGGUGCAAGCGUUGUCCGGAAUUAUUGGGCGUAAAGAGCUCGUAGGCGGUUUGUCGCGUCUGCUGUGAAAUCCCGAGGCUCAACCUCGGGCCUGCAGUGGGUACGGGCAGACUAGAGUGCGGUAGGGGAGAUUGGAAUUCCUGGUGUAGCGGUGGAAUGCGCAGAUAUCAGGAGGAACACCCAUAGCGAAGGCAGCUUGCUGGGACGUUACUGACGCUAAGGCGCGAAAGCGUGGGGAGCGAACAGG